GCUCAGAAUGAACGCUGGCGGCGUGCUUACACAUGCAAGUCGAACGAGAAAUCUUUAGCUUGCUAGAGAAAGUAAAGUGGCGCACGGGUGAGUAACGCGUGGGUAAUCUGCCUCCGAAUCGGGGAUAACAUUGCGAAAGCGAUGCUAAUACCGGAUAAAAUCUGGUUGGCUUCGGUGAACCGGAUCAAAGGUGGUCUCUUUAUAAAAGCUACCGUUUGGAGAUGAGCUCGCGUACCAUUAGCUAGUUGGUGAGGUAAAGGCUCACCAAGGCGACGAUGGUUAGCUGGUCUGAGAGGAUGAUCAGCCACACCGGAACUGGAACACGGUCCGGACUCCUACGGGAGGCAGCAGUGAGGAAUUUUGCGCAAUGGGGGAAACCCUGACGCAGCAACGCCGCGUGAGUGAUGAAGGCUUUCGGGUCGUAAAGCUCUGUCAGGUGGGAAGAACCCACCAAGUGUUAAGACCACUUGGUGCUGACGGUACCACCGAAGGAAGCACCGGCUAACUCCGUGCCAGCAGCCGCGGUAAUACGGGGGGUGCGAGCGUUAUUCGGAAUCAUUGGGCGUAAAGGGCGCGCAGGCGGUUUUGUAAGUCAGAUGUGAAAUCCCGGGGCUUAACCCCGGAAGUGCAUAUGAAACUAUGAGACUUGAGUAUGGGAGAGGGAAGCGGAAUUCCUGGUGUAGCGGUGAAAUGCGUAGAUAUCAGGAGGAACACCGGUGGCGAAGGCGGCUUCCUGGACCAAUACUGACGCUGAGGCGCGAAGGCGUGGGGAGCGAACAGGAUUAGAUACCCUGGUAGUCCACGCAGUAAACGUUGAUCACUAGGUGUAGCGGGUAUUGACCCCUGCUGUGCCGGAGUUAACGCAUUAAGUGAUCCGNCUGGGGAGUACGAUCGCAAGAUUAAACUCAAAGGAAUUGACGGGGGCCCGCACAAGCGGUGGAGCAUUGUGGUUUAAUUCGACGCAACGCGA
RNAcentral lists this ribosomal RNA (970 nucleotides) under uncultured organism. RNAcentral's name for it is "bacterial SSU rRNA". It matches the Rfam family "Bacterial small subunit ribosomal RNA", at positions 22 to 964 of the family's 1533-position model. The record is from RNAcentral.